This is a long non-coding RNA of Marmota monax (woodchuck), 3108 nucleotides long. RefSeq lists it as uncharacterized. The transcript has 3 exons. The record is from RefSeq and is a predicted model, not a curated record. Lineage: Eukaryota; Metazoa; Chordata; Mammalia; Rodentia; Sciuridae.
UGCGCCUUUCUUGGCCUCUCCCCAACACAGGCCUGCAGACCAUCUCUGAGGUCAGGCUCUCGGGAAUGACCAGCCUUGGGCCUCCACUGCCUCCGGAAAGGAGUCAUUUACACAGCACCUCUCAUAUUUCAAUCAUCAGGUUGGCAAAAGUUGAGGGCACCAAACACAUCAGGAGCCGCGGUGGGGGACAACCAAUAGGAUCCUAUGCUGCUCCUGGGACUGUGGAUUGGUGCCACCUCCUUGGAGACCCACCCAUAGGUGGUUACUCAGUGUUUGACGGCAUGUGUGCCUUGGACCCCAAAUUCCACUUCCGGGUACCUUUUCUAAGGAAACACAGCUCCUGGCAACAAGGACACUGAAGGAACACUUGAAAACGUUGAAAUUGUAAAGGAAAACAAAUAAACCUGCACAAAGGUCCUUACGUGUGGAAAUAAAGAAUCAUGUCAGGGAGACCCAGAAGGGCUUGGGCAGCCAAGCCCCGUGAAACAGAGCCAGGCAUUUCCACAGGGGUAUUCGGGUGUAUGUGAACACACGACUGGAGAAUACUUGAGGAAACACACCAGGCUGAAGCACCUUAUGAAGUUGGGAGCUGUCGUGGAGAGCACUUCUUGAGGUGAAUCCCACCCACAGCACAGGAGUCUCCUUAAGGAAGCUCCAUCCCACCCACACCCUCCGGGUCCAUUCAAGGCAGGUGCCCAGAGGCAGCUUAUUUUCUCCAGGACACUCAGGAAGAAAAGGAAAUCCACAGAGGCUGGGCAGGGCUGUCAGCCUCACCCCACAUUGGGUUCUGGGGGAGUGUGCAGCCUGACCACCAGUAGCAGCCCCAGACUCAUUGCUCAGCAAAAUCCCAAGGUGGGUGUAAUAGUCUGCUCUGGCUGCCACAACAAAACACUACAAACUGGGUGACUGCAACAACAGAAAUUUAUUUUCACAAGGUUCUGUAGGCUGGGGACUCCAAGGUCAAGGACUUUUGCAGCUUGGUCUCAUGUUUGGCCUCCUCCUCACUAAGUCCUCCUGUGACCUUUCCAUGAUGUGUGUGCGUGUGUGUGUGUGUGUGAGGGGGGUGUGUGUGUGUGCGUGUGUGUGCACAGACAGACAGUAAGUUCACUAGGGUCUCUCUGUAGAAGGAUAUUAGUCCUAUCACAUCAGGGUCCCACCCUUCAUGGCCUCACUGAACCUUACUCGGCCUUAAAGGCUCUGGCUCCAAAUGCAGUCACAAUGGGAGUGAGGACUUCAUCACAUGAAUUGGAGUGGAGGGAAGUACAAUUCAGUGCAUAGCAAGUAGUAAAUAUUUUGCUGCUGAUUUGACUUUCUAGUGACCCUGCUCCCCGGCCAUCCAGAUCACAGAUGUCACUACCUUCAGAUACUGAAAGAUAUAUCCGGCCCCUCAUCCUAACCUAAAGCAGCCAACUACCACUCCCAGUGUUACCAAUGAAGUGGGGGAGUGGGUACCCCGCCCAUGAACUGCCACUGUUUUUAGCAUCACCAAUGACAUCAGAAUCCCUGGACCUGACCAUGGGUACAACCUAGAGCCUCUGAGAGGACAAGAUAUGGGAAUGGAUCCCCAGAACUGAUUGAUUGGGCCCUGAGAAAGCUCACUCAGAAUCUCCAGCAUAAGGGGCUCAGAGGCUCUGGGGUGCUGGGGGGAGUGCACAAAGUAUCCUGUUCUUCUUCUGCCACCUGGUGGUUAGUCAGUAUGUUGACAAGUGCACAAAAGGAAACCUGGAGUUUGGGGGUCUUAGAUAGAAUCUGGCCUUUCUCCCUGGGAGUUUAGGGGUCUGACCAGGAACUAGGAAGAAACUCCUCACUUACCAGUCAAGUUUCCUCACGUGAGGAUUAAACGUGUGCAGAGAAAUGACAGUGUAGUGAUUUGGGUCUUCGUUUCUAUCCAUUAUCUUUUAAGUUGGCAAUUUACACCAAGCCUGCAGUUUAGGACUUAAACCCAACCCACACAAUGUAGCUAGCUGCAAGCCAAACAAGAACCAUCGCUUUCACUUGUUCACUGGUUCAUGUUCCACACACUCCUCUUUUUCCAUGGAGUGCAGUAGGAACAAGCCUCGUUGGAGUGGAGUCACGGGAAGGGAGAUGUGGAGGACAGGGCAGGAGACCUUUUCACUUUGGGGAGGAGUUUCUGAGUAUCUGGCACAACUUGCCCAGAGACUCACAAGGUUUUGGUAAAAAGUUGUGUGUAAAUCAGGUACUCACGUACUGGACAGCUCAGGGCUCUUGUGCGUCUGACUUGUACAAGACCCCAUGAAGGACAGAGCUGUCUGGGACCGCUGGCACCCUCCUCUCUAGGCCAUCCUAUACACGUGAUGGCUUGGUCAGCAGCUCUAAUGCUGUUAAUGGUCUCCUUUUAAAGCCAGUGGCCACCCGUCUGAUGGGCAGGGGUUCUGCAUGUGAAAUCCCAUCUGCAGUGUCGGGGGUCUUGGUGAUAUGCUUCCCAGCUCUUUCCCCAAUCCUAUCUCUAGUACUCUGGGUCUGUCUAGAAUGCUGGUGUGACACACCCUGAACAGAAGUGAUGGCUGAGGUUUCCUCAGGUUUGCAGUUGAUAUGUAUUCAGGGGUCAAAUAAGUCUCCCUGCAGUUGCCUCUGCCCUUUGAAGGGAAACCCGUCCAUUACUCACAAAUGACUCAUUUUGUACAUGAGAAACACCCACGUCAUCCAUAAGGCUUGGCUGUGAAAUGUGUGGAAAGCUACGUAGAGUUAAAGGACAAUAGUGCUUCAUGAAGUCAGGUGACAAAGAACACCCAGUUUGCCUGGUACUGAAGGAUCUUCCAGGACAUAGGACUGGCAGUGAGAAAACUGGGGUGGUCUCAGACAAACUGGGACAGUGGAUGGCCACCACACAGGGGCAAAGGGACAUGGUCACACAUGGUGAACUACCCCUAGGUGUCUGCACACCCUGUUCUCACAGUGGGGCCCCUCUGUGCUUUUCUUCUCAACCAGCAGAAACCUGGCUUGGGAUGGCCUGCUGGGGAGGCCAGGGGAGAUAAGCAAAGGAAGCAAAGACAGAUUGGAGGGGUGGGAGUAAGGGAUCCAGGAAUACGGGGAACGUCACAUGUGAGAAAUGUAUCCAGUGCUUAGCAGAGUGUACUGGGAAGCAGA